CAUUUAUGGUAUCUUAUAUAUUUGAACCGAUAUAAGUAUGUCCCUUUUGUAUGUUGUAUUCUUCCACUUUUAUUUAUCAUGGUAAAUCUCACCUAAUACAAUUUCAUGCCAUGUAUGCUAGAAUUUCAGUUUGAGUAGUGAUAUUUCAUUAGAAAACUGUCACAAUGGUUUAAAUUUAAAAUAAUUCUUGUCAAUAUAAGUUGUUUUAUUCGAGCUGUUCGCUUUAAAUUGAAUCUGCGUGCUGUUUUUCGGCUAAAUGAUUUGAGUUAGUUUUUCAUUCUACAAGGCUACAACAUUAUAUAUGAUUUUUCCAGGUCACCAGAUAAAUCAUUCUAUGAAUCUCCACGCUUUGUGACACAUAUUGAUGAUCCAGCCAUUGUUGCUCUUACUAAGUAUUAUUCAGAGGUUUUUCCUCCUAGUGAAACUCCAGGAGUAACUAUCCUUGACAUGUGUAGCAGUUGGGUCAGUCAUUUCCCAGCAGGAUACAAGCAAGACCGGAUAGUAGGAAUGGGUAUGAAUGAAGAAGAGCUUAAACGGAAUCAAGUUUUGACCGAAUAUGUUGUUCAAGACUUAAAUGUUAACCCUAAACUUCCCUUUGAAGAUAAUUCCUUUGAUGUUAUUACAAACGUUGUUAGUGUUGACUACCUGACAAAGCCUAUUGAUGUUUUCAAGGAGAUGUGCCGGAUUCUUAAGCCUGGUGGCCUUGCUAUAAUUAGAGUUUGGCAAGGUUUAACUCUCCAACCACUUCCAGCUUUCUUUCCUACCAGUAACAAUUUCUUAACAUGGAUGGACAUUAACACCAAGCAAUAUGUCAAGUUCAAAAACAUGCUAGUUUUUUGAACAUUUUGACCUUUGAUCUCAAAACAAUCUGGUCAAACGUACUACUGAUGAAGCCAAGGAGUAAGGGAACAGAGUGCUAUUGGUAAUUCAUGUUGUUUUAUUUUUGUACAUCUUUUAUGUGAAUUUCACAUAUUGUGUUUGUAAAUCAGCUUAUCCAACCGCUGCUUCUGGACAAAAGCAAUCUCAAUAUGGACAAUGACCACUGAUGCUGGUCAUGUUUUGAUUGUCGGAUCAUAUUUCCAUUAUGCUGGAGGGUUUGAACCUGCUCAGGCUGUGGAUUUAUCUCCGAAUCCAGGACG
Molecule: non-coding RNA, 1139 nt
Organism: Camellia sinensis
Lineage: Eukaryota; Viridiplantae; Streptophyta; Magnoliopsida; Ericales; Theaceae
Source: RefSeq, a predicted model, not a curated record